Molecule: ribosomal RNA, 461 nt
Filed under: uncultured bacterium
Lineage: Bacteria
Description: partial 16S ribosomal RNA
Rfam family: Bacterial small subunit ribosomal RNA
Source: RNAcentral
CCUACGGGUGGCAGCAGUGAGGAAUAUUGGUCAAUGGACGGAAGGCUGAACCAGCCAUGCCGCGUGAAGGUCAGUGCCCUAUGGGCGUUAAACUUCUUUUGUGCGGGAGCAAUAAUGGUCACGUGUGGCCAGACGAAAGUACCGUACGAAUAAGCAACGGCUAACUCCGUGCCAGCAGCCGCGGUAAUACGGGGGAUGCAAGCGUUAUCCGGAUUUAUUGGGUUUAAAGGGUGCGUAGGCUGUGAGGUAAGUCAGCGGUGAAAUGCCCCCGGUCAACGGGGUGAAGUGCCAUUGGUACUGGCUUGCUGGGAGGCGGAUGCCGUGGGAGGAAAGUGAGGUGUAGCGGUGAAAAUGCAUAGAGAUCACACAGAACACCGAUUGCGAAGGCAGCUCACGAAUCCGCGAUUGACGCUGAUGCACGAAAGCGUGGGUAUCAAACAGGAUUAGAUACCCCUGUAGUC